This 304-nucleotide ribosomal RNA is filed under the name uncultured bacterium. RNAcentral's name for it is "partial 16S ribosomal RNA". It matches the Rfam family "Bacterial small subunit ribosomal RNA", at positions 509 to 807 of the family's 1533-position model. The record is from RNAcentral.
CAGCAGUCGCCGCGGUAAUACGAAGGGUGCAAGCGUUACUCGGAAUUACUGGGCGUAAAGCGUGCGUAGGUGGUGGUUUAAGUCCGUUGUGAAAGCCCUGGGCUCAACCUGGGAAUUGCAGUGGAUACUGGGUCACUAGAGUGUGGUAGAGGAUAGUGGAAUUUCCGGUGUAGCAGUGAAAUGCGUAGAGAUCGGAAGGAACAUCUGUGGCGAAGGCAGCCAUCUGGCCUAAUACUGACGCUGAGGUACGAAAGCAUGGGGAGCAAACAGGAUUAGAUACCCGAGUAGUCCCUGUCUCUUAUAC